RNAcentral lists this small RNA (28 nucleotides) under Bombyx mori (domestic silkworm). RNAcentral's name for it is "ovarian small RNA-2541". The record is from RNAcentral. Lineage: Eukaryota; Metazoa; Arthropoda; Insecta; Lepidoptera; Bombycidae.
CAAGUGAUGCCGGACACGGGUCAGUUGC